GGGCUGUAUCCAUAGCUUAGUGGUAUAGCUUUUGUUUUCUAUGCAAAAGUUUGCAAGGUUCAAUCCCUAGUCUGUCCA
RNAcentral lists this transfer RNA (78 nucleotides) under Sphaerodactylus townsendi. Its description in RNAcentral is "tRNA-Arg". It matches the Rfam family "tRNA". Rfam says of the family: Transfer RNA (tRNA) molecules are approximately 80 nucleotides in length. Lineage: Eukaryota; Metazoa; Chordata; Lepidosauria; Squamata; Sphaerodactylidae. The record is from RNAcentral.